RNAcentral lists this ribosomal RNA (286 nucleotides) under Bacillus anthracis (anthrax bacterium). RNAcentral's name for it is "partial 16S ribosomal RNA". It matches the Rfam family "Bacterial small subunit ribosomal RNA", at positions 1 to 274 of the family's 1533-position model. The record is from RNAcentral. Lineage: Bacteria; Bacillati; Bacillota; Bacilli; Caryophanales; Bacillaceae.
UUUAUUGGAGAGUUUGAUCCUGGCUCAGGAUGAACGCUGGCGGCGUGCCUAAUACAUGCAAGUCGAGCGAAUGGAUUAAGAGCUUGCUCUUAUGAAGUUAGCGGCGGACGGGUGAGUAACACGUGGGUAACCUGCCCAUAAGACUGGGAUAACUCCGGGAAACCGGGGCUAAUACCGGAUAACAUUUUGAACCGCAUGGUUCGAAAUUGAAAGGCGGCUUCGGCUGUCACUUAUGGAUGGACCCGCGUCGCAUUAGCUAGUUGGUGAGGUAACGGCUCACCAAGGC